This 215-nucleotide long non-coding RNA is filed under the name Carica papaya (papaya). Its description in RNAcentral is "long non-coding RNA (CPAP_LNC002778)". Lineage: Eukaryota; Viridiplantae; Streptophyta; Magnoliopsida; Brassicales; Caricaceae. The record is from RNAcentral.
GUAAGGCUAUGUAUAUAAAUAUGUAAAACUAUACAUGCAUGUGUAUGCAUAAAACUGUUGGUACAAAUAGUCUGCAUAUGUGUAUUUGUUGAUGGUUGAAUAGUCAUGAAGGUUAAACUAUGUAUCGAAGUAUAUGUAUAUAGUGUAUACUUGUUAUGAGUGAAAAUAUGUAAGCAUCUAAGCUGUGUAGGUAACUGUGUUAGAGUGAAGGGAUU